AGGACGAACGCUUGCGACGUGCCUAAGAAAUGCAAGUCGAACGGACAGUAGCAAUACUGUUAGUGGCGAACGGUCGCGUAACACGUGGGCAACCUGCCCUGAAGCGGGGGACAACAACUCGAAAGAGUUGCUAAUACCGCAUGUGAAUCGCUGUGGCAUCACAGAGGAUUCAAAGCCGCAAGGCACUUCAGGAUGGGCCCGCGGCCUAUCAGCUAGUUGGUGAGGUAACGGCCCACCAAGGCUUCGACGGGUAGCUGGUCUGAGAGGACGAUCAGCCGGAUUGGGACUGAGACACGGCCCAGACUCCUACGGGAGGCAGCAGUGGGGAAUCUUGCGCAAUGGGCGAAAGCCUGACGCAGCAACGCCGCGUGGAGGACGAAGGCUUUCUGAGUUGUAAACUCCUUUCAGCAGGGACGAUAGUGACGGUACCUGCAGAAGAGCACCGGCCAACUACGUGCCAGCAGCCGC
Molecule: ribosomal RNA, 468 nt
Filed under: uncultured bacterium
Lineage: Bacteria
Description: SSU rRNA
Rfam family: Bacterial small subunit ribosomal RNA
Source: RNAcentral